CAAUCACUUGUCUUUUAAAUGAAGACCCGUAUGAAUGGCANNACGAGGGCUUAACUGUCUCCUUUCUCCCGUCAAUGGAAUUGAUCUUCCCGUGCAGAAGCGGGAAUACNCCCAUAAGACGAGAAGACCCUAUGGAGCUUCAGGCACCAGAACAGACUAUGUCAAGCACCCUAACACAAAAGACAAAACUAAUUAGACCCUGCUCCACAUGCCUUUGGUUGGGGCGACCGCGGGGAAACGAAAAACCCCCAUGCAGACUGGGAGCACAACCCCUCCUACAACCCAGAGUUACAACUCUAAGAAACAGAACCUCUGACUAAAAAGAUCCGGCUAUUCAAGCCGAUCAACGGACCGAGUUACCCUAGGGAUAACAGCGCAAUCCCCUUCUAGAGCCCA
Molecule: ribosomal RNA, 396 nt
Filed under: Astronotus ocellatus (oscar)
Lineage: Eukaryota; Metazoa; Chordata; Actinopteri; Cichliformes; Cichlidae
Description: partial 16S ribosomal RNA
Rfam family: Bacterial large subunit ribosomal RNA
Source: RNAcentral